Molecule: unclassified non-coding RNA, 570 nt
Filed under: Zea mays
Lineage: Eukaryota; Viridiplantae; Streptophyta; Magnoliopsida; Poales; Poaceae
Description: misc RNA Zm00001eb149100
Source: RNAcentral
UUGGAGCUCGGCCCCAACGCGCUCUCGUGGUCCUCGCCAGCAACCACCCGUGUUGUCGCCCUCCUCCCCGGUGAGCUGCCACGCCCUGGUCCUUGGCGGGUGCGCGGUCGUCUUCCUUGCCGGUGGCCUCAUGCGCUCUCCUCCUUCUCCCCAGCGAGCUGCUGCGCCCAGGUCCUCUGCGGGUGCGCGCUCAUCCUCCUCGCCGGCGGCCACACGCGCUCUCCUCCUCCCCGGCGAGCUACCGCGCUCGCGUCUUCGACGGCUGCGCGUCGUCCUCGCCGGCGGCCGGGCAAGCUCGUCCUCCUCCCCGGCAAUCCGCCGCGCGUGCUGCGCCUCGUCCCUGGCACGUGUGCGCUCCUCCUCGUCCCACCCCACCUCUUCUUCUACCUCCAGUUGUUUGCACGGACGGCUGCAAUAGCUUCCAAGACAGUGCGGGAGUUGGUACGCGAUAGGAUGAAGCAGAUGCAGACGGUGAGCCAUGCAGUGGUGCGAAUUGAGGACGCGGCGCGGAGCAGCGGCAAAUCGCGGUCGGUAAUACCGAAGCCUGGAGCGGUGGAGCCGGGGACUUGA